CCCUUAGAUGUUCUGGGCCGCACGCGUGCUACACUGAGUGGAUCAGCGGGUCAGGUUGCGCGAAAGUGUUUCCUAAUCUUUAAAUCCGCUCGUGAUGGGGAUUGACGGUUGCAAUUUUCCGUCAUGAACGGGGAAUACCUUGUAAGCGCGGGUCAUCAUCCCGCGCUGAAUACGUCCCUGCCCUUUGUACACACCGCCCGUCGCUCCUACCGAUUGAGUGGUCCGGUGAGGCUUUGGGAUCUGAGCGGAAAGAGCGUUUCGCUGUUUCUGCUCGGAAAACUCAGUCGAACCUUAUCAUUUAGAGGAAGGUGAAGUCGUAACA
RNAcentral lists this ribosomal RNA (322 nucleotides) under uncultured eukaryote. RNAcentral describes it as "partial 18S ribosomal RNA". It matches the Rfam family "Eukaryotic small subunit ribosomal RNA", at positions 1470 to 1796 of the family's 1831-position model. The record is from RNAcentral.